AUGAGUUGCUUUCAACUUCCUGUAGCCACUUGUGAGAAGUUUUGUCAAAUUAUUUCCGAUGAGUGGUGGGGUCGUGAAGAUGGCAAGCGGAAAAUACAUUGGCGUUCGUGGGAGUGGCUUACUACUCCAAAGUCACUCGGAGGAAUGGGUUUUCUGGACAUGGCUUUAUUCAACUUGGCAAUGCUUGCAAAGCAAGGCUGGAGGCUUUUAACGGACCCUUCGUCCCUCUGUGCUCAUGUCCUUAAGGGACGAUACUUUCCAAAUUCAGAUUUCUGGAAUGCAGAGGCUCCAAGAUCAGCAUCGGCUACGUGGCAAGCAAUUCUGGCCGGUCGG
Molecule: ribosomal RNA, 333 nt
Filed under: Triticum aestivum (bread wheat)
Lineage: Eukaryota; Viridiplantae; Streptophyta; Magnoliopsida; Poales; Poaceae
Description: partial small subunit ribosomal RNA
Source: RNAcentral